UAGGGAAUCUUCCACAAUGGACGGAAAGUCUGAUGGAGCAACGCCGCGUGAGUGAAGAAGGGUUUCGGCUCGUAAAACUCUGUUGUUAAAGAAGAACAUAUCUGAGAGUAACUGUUCAGGUAUUGACGGUAUUUAACCAGAAAGCCACGGCUAACUACGUGCCGG
This 165-nucleotide ribosomal RNA is filed under the name uncultured bacterium. RNAcentral describes it as "partial 16S ribosomal RNA". It matches the Rfam family "Bacterial small subunit ribosomal RNA", at positions 355 to 511 of the family's 1533-position model. The record is from RNAcentral.